This 1455-nucleotide ribosomal RNA is filed under the name uncultured organism. RNAcentral describes it as "SSU rRNA". It matches the Rfam family "Bacterial small subunit ribosomal RNA". The record is from RNAcentral.
GAUGAACCUACUAGACCCGCUUAACACAUGCAAGUCGAGGGGCAGCAUGGUUUUAGCUUGCUAAGGCCGAUGGCGACCGGCGCACGGGUGAGUAACACGUAUCCAACCUGCCGUCUACUCUUGGACAGCCUUCUGAAAGGAAGAUUAAUACAAGAUGGCAUCAUGAGUCCGCAUGUUCACAUGAUUAAAGGUAUUCCGGUAGACGAUGGGGAUGCGUUCCAUUAGAUAGUAGGCGGGGUAACGGCCCACCUAGUCUUCGAUGGAUAGGGGUUCUGAGAGGAAGGUCCCCCACAUUGGAACUGAGACACGGUCCAAACUCCUACGGGAGGCAGCAGUGAGGAAUAUUGGUCAAUGGACGAGAGCCUGAACCAGCCAAGUAGCGUGAAGGAUGACUGCCCUAUGGGUUGUAAACUUCUUUUAUAAAGGAAUAAAGUCGGGUAUGGAUACCCGUUUGCAUGUACUUUAUGAAUAAGGAUCGGCUAACUCCGUGCCAGCAGCCGCGGUAAUACGGAGGAUCCGAGCGUUAUCCGGAUUUAUUGGGUUUAAAGGGAGCGUAGAUGGAUGUUUAAGUCAGUUGUGAAAGUUUGCGGCUCAACCGUAAAAUUGCAGUUGAUACUGGAUAUCUUGAGUGCAGUUGAGGCAGGCGGAAUUCGUGGUGUAGCGGUGAAAUGCUUAGAUAUCACGAAGAACUCCGAUUGCGAAGGCAGCCUGCUAAGCUGCAACUGACAUUGAGGCUCGAAAGUGUGGGUAUCAAACAGGAUUAGAUACCCUGGUAGUCCACACGGUAAACGAUGAAUACUCGCUGUUUGCGAUAUACAGCAAGCGGCCAAGCGAAAGCGUUAAGUAUUCCACCUGGGGAGUACGCCGGCAACGGUGAAACUCAAGGGAAUUGACGGGGGCCCGCACAAGCGGAGGAACAUGUGGUUUAAUUCGAUGAUACGCGAGGAACCUUACCCGGGCUUAAAUUGCAGAUGAAUUACGGUGAAAGCCGUAAGCCGCAAGGCAUCUGUGAAGGUGCUGCAUGGUUGUCGUCAGCUCGUGCCGUGAGGUGUCGGCUUAAGUGCCAUAACGAGCGCAACCCUUGUUGUCAGUUACUAACAGGUUCUGCUGAGGACUCUGACGAGACUGCCAUCGUAAGAUGUGAGGAAGGUGGGGAUGACGUCAAAUCAGCACGGCCCUUACGUCCGGGGCUACACACGUGUUACAAUGGGGGGUACAGAGGGCCGCUACCACGCGAGUGGAUGCCAAUCCCCAAAACCUCUCUCAGUUCGGACUGGAGUCUGCAACCCGACUCCACGAAGCUGGAUUCGCUAGUAAUCGCGCAUCAGCCACGGCGCGGUGAAUACGUUCCCGGGCCUUGUACACACCGCCCGUCAAGCCAUGGGAGCCGGGGGUACCUGAAGUGCGUAACCGCGAGGAGCGCCCUAGGGUAAAACUGGUGACUGGGGCUAAGUA